Molecule: long non-coding RNA, 447 nt
Organism: Cyprinus carpio carpio
Lineage: Eukaryota; Metazoa; Chordata; Actinopteri; Cypriniformes; Cyprinidae
Source: Ensembl
AUGCAAGACAAAAGUGGAGUAAUUGAGUUCAAGGUGAAGAAGUGUGGCCUUCAACUUUGCAAGCGAGAGCUUCACUGUGUGGUGAUUAGAUGUUUGAACAUUUUAACCACACCGAAGAAAGAAAAUUACAUGGCUUUCGGCAACAUGGUGGUGAGUAAGUGAUGACAUAAUUUGACAUUUUUGGGUGAAAUAUUUUCUUUAAUAAAAAUAAAUAAUGCAUACACUAAAGUUGACUUUGAACUGUUGUAUUCCUUGGGGGAAUGCUUUUCAUUUUCUCACAAUAAAUUCUUUAGAAUUCUCACCCUAAAUACUUUCGCACUUCCACUGAAUCGCAUAAAUGAUACAAGACUCCAUGCAGGUUUUAUUCUGUGGGGCUGUGUUUCAUAAGAGAAGCUUGGCUGUAUGUGAGAGACACCCAGCAGAGAACAGAAGAACAGCCAGAGCACC